GUCACACCUGUUCCCAUCUCGAACACAGAAGUUAAGCUUCUUAGCGCCGAUUGUAGUGAAGGGUUUCCCUUUGUGAGACUAGGACGUUGCCGCGC
This 95-nucleotide ribosomal RNA is filed under the name Trichococcus palustris. The record is from RNAcentral. Lineage: Bacteria; Bacillati; Bacillota; Bacilli; Lactobacillales; Carnobacteriaceae.